CGCAGGGAGCCUGGCCACAUGGGAGGGGUGUGGUCCGGAACUCCAACCCCAGGUCCUGCUUGGCCGCCCCUCCCGCGGCUACGCACUACUCCAUCUACUGCUGGCUUGCCCCGGGUCCUUAAGCCAGCGACAGUUUUUAUUGCCGAACCCAGGCUGGAGGCGGGCGGCCCUAGGAGCCGCGCACAACAGCGCAAGCGGGCUGGAUACCGGGAGCCGAUUCCAGGGCGCCCACAGAAGCAGAAUCAGAGGGGUUGCUCACACCCGAGAUGUGAGGUUCCAGGAGCGCCGACCCAGAGUUGCCAGGCCUGAAGGCGGGAGAGGCUCAGUCGCACCCUACAUUUCCCACCUCCAAGAUUUUAAGUAUAGUUCGCUUGAAAUCCCUGGAAUGCGCUUUCUUCUGGCUCCUACCCGGAGAUCCGGAGUCCGGACAAACCGGGGCAGGAAGGGUCCGUCGGACCAGCGCCUCCCAAGCCGAGGCUUCCAGGUCUCGGCCGGGCUCUUCUCCCUGCUUUUAGCUGAGCCGGGCUGGACGUGCCUCUCUCCUCCAUCUAGAGCAGGGUGUGAAGAGGAAGCCAGAGGGGGCUGUCUGAAAAUGACCCUGACCCCCUCCUCGGGCUGUCGUGAGGAGGAGGGCCGCUUCGCCCGGCUGCUCGUCAUCGCGAAGGCUCCAAAGAAGGGUUGCGCAGCCGUGCUGGUAUAACCGAGGGUGUCCUGGCGAAGCCCAGCCCCUGGCGCCCUGGUGACCGGGGGGGUCGAUGUGCGGACUGGGCAGAACUGGAGCCCGAAGCUGGAGAGCGCCCCUCAAAAAGAAGCCUGGAAGCCCGAGAGAUGAACCCGACUCAGAGAGGGCCAAGACUGCAGACCUUGGGGACCGAGGACACCCUCACCACGCUGGUGGGGGCUGGGGGGAUGGCGCGGGCGGUGGCGUGCGGGGAAGCGCCUGGGGAACACCUGGCUCUGCAAGUUUUGUGCCUUAGCGGAAAGAGGCGACAUCUCUGGCAAGUUGGGAGUACAGGAAGUAGCGAAGGAGUGCCAUCUGGUGGAUCCUUCUGGUAGUGACACUCAGACCUGGGCCAGGGGCCUUGAGACAAUUUACUUGACUGGAAAAAUCUGAAUAAAAAAAAGAUGCUUCAA
Molecule: small RNA, 1134 nt
Filed under: Pan troglodytes (chimpanzee)
Lineage: Eukaryota; Metazoa; Chordata; Mammalia; Primates; Hominidae
Description: processed transcript
Source: RNAcentral